This 265-nucleotide ribosomal RNA is filed under the name uncultured bacterium. Its description in RNAcentral is "partial 16S ribosomal RNA". It matches the Rfam family "Bacterial small subunit ribosomal RNA", at positions 793 to 1055 of the family's 1533-position model. The record is from RNAcentral.
GUCCACGCCGUAAACGAUGGGCACUAGGUGUAGGAGGUAUUGACCCCUUCUGUGCCGAAGCUAACGCAUUAAGUGCCCCGCCUGGGGAGUACGGCCGCAAGGCUAAAACUCAAAGGAAUUGACGGGGCCCGCACAAGCGGUGGAGCAUGUGGUUCAAUUCGACGCAACGCGAAGAACCUUACCUGGGUUUGACAUCCGCUGACAAUCCUGGAAACAGGACUUUCCCCGCAAGGGGACAGCGAGACAGGUGCUGCAUGGCUGUCGU